GACGAACGCUGGCGGCGUGCUUAAUACAUGCAAGUCGAGCGAGGUUAUUUUUUCAAAGUCCUUCGGGGUGGCGAAAUUUUAACCUAGCGGCGGACGGGUGAGUAACGCGUGGGCAACCUGCCCUAAAGCCCGGGAUAACAGUGGGAAACUACUGCUAACACCGGAUGGUCUCAUUUUGUGGCAUCAUAAGAUGAGUAAAGGUUACGCUUUAGGAUGGGCCCGCGUCCCAUUAGCUAGUUGGUGAGGUAACUGCUCACCAAGGCGACGAUGGGUAGCCGGCCUGAGAGGGUGGACGGCCACACUGGGACUGAGACACGGCCCAGACUCCUACGGGAGGCGGCAGUAGGGAAUAUUGCGCAAUGGAGGGAACUCUGACGCAGCGACGCCGCGUGAGCGAUGAAGGUCUUCGGAUCGUAAAGCUCUGUCCUCAGGGAAGAAGGUUAUUAACUUGACGGUACCUGAGGAGGAAGCCCCGGCUAACUACGUG
RNAcentral lists this ribosomal RNA (487 nucleotides) under uncultured bacterium. RNAcentral describes it as "bacterial SSU rRNA". It matches the Rfam family "Bacterial small subunit ribosomal RNA", at positions 28 to 507 of the family's 1533-position model. The record is from RNAcentral.